Molecule: long non-coding RNA, 258 nt
Organism: Myripristis murdjan (pinecone soldierfish)
Lineage: Eukaryota; Metazoa; Chordata; Actinopteri; Holocentriformes; Holocentridae
Exons: 3
Source: RefSeq, a predicted model, not a curated record
AGAGUCUGGGUAAAUCGGGGCAAAACCUAGUUAAUUGAAGCCACAUAGACUUUGUUUGUCCUCAAAAGAGUGAAUUACUACUCCUGAGGGUUAUGAUAAAGAAAGCCCAGGCCUCUCCUUUCAUUGUGGAUGCAUUAAAAUAAAUCAUCCGUCCAUCCAUCCAUCCAUCUACCCCCCUGUUAUCCAGUGCUCAAUAAAUGGUUAAACGGCUCUUGAAUCCCUGUGUUUAAAUGUUCACACCAUUCCACAAUUCUAUGA